Non-coding RNA from Danio rerio (zebrafish), 3806 nucleotides. Lineage: Eukaryota; Metazoa; Chordata; Actinopteri; Cypriniformes; Danionidae. The record is from RefSeq and is a predicted model, not a curated record.
AACAACAGCAAUAGGCUAUAAUUCAAAAUAUAACAAUGUGAUAAAACCUUUCAGUGUUAUUCAACGAUGUUUAAACUGAACUAUAAUUUUUUUUUUUAAUUACACAGACUUAUUUACUAUUUGUCUGAAAAAUAAAAUGUAUAAAUGCAUGCAAAAUGAAAUAUAAACAUACAAAAGUUAGUCAAAUUGAGAAUCAAAGUUGCUAUUAUUUAUAUACUCAAAAGUUAGCGUUACACGACUUAAAUCUUUUACAAAAUUAUUAUUAUUAUUGUUACAUUCUUCAGUGCUUCACUGAAAUCGCGCACUGGACCUUUAAGAUAACUUGAAUAUGGCGCGGUGGCGUUGCUGUGGUUACCAGAUUCCGUGGCAUUCUAAAAAAGAAUGUGUUCCAAAAACACGUCAGACGGAGAGAAACUGCAGGAAGUGUCUGACCAUCGCUGACAUUAGCGGUAUGUAAAUAUUUCUCUAAAAGUAUCGUUUUACAUUAUUAUAUAUGGUUGUUUCGGCGUGCUUUUGCUGAAGGAGACUAAAGAUUUUAGUGUUUCUCUCGGUCAUAUUGUUUCAGAUUAUAUUACUUUUUCCACAUCUUUUUUCGGUCUGACUGUAGAUUGUACUGAAUGCUGGUUGGAAUUGCAGAUUGCUAUAUUGUCGACUUAUAUAUAAAUAUGUAUGUAUGUAUGUAUGUAUGUAUGUAUGUAUGUAUUUUUUCUAGUUUGACAGUUUUCUAGUUUUUCUAAUUUUAACAUUUGCAGAUUGGUAUUUGCCAUAUCUUUCGAUAAAUUGAUGUUAUAAUGGAUUUGUAUGCGUUGAGCUUUAACACAUAUUGCAAAUUACUGUAAGUCUAGAUUGUUUGGCUAUAUUAUUAUGCAUUUGUAAUUUACUGUAUGCUGUUGGCCUGUUCAACAUUUGUAGCUUUUAAUUGUUAUUCGUUUUAUUUACAGUUGUAAUAAUUAUAAACAGAUUUAUCUAUUCAAAGUUUAUAGGUUGUCAUCUUGUAUUUAUUUAUAGCUGUGAAACAUUAUUUGUUAGUGUUAGAACAGAACCAGUCUAGAGACGAUGGUAGACAAAACUUUCAAAGAAUGGUAUUUAGAUUAAUUAAUGACUUGAUAUCUUGUUCUAUUGAUUUUGCAGAUCGGAAUGGAUAGAGAAAAAAAAAGGAAUUACACACCUUACCAAUGACUGGAAAUUGAUGGUCAGGAUUUUUUAUUUGUUUUUAAAAUCCUUUCAAGAUGAAGCAGAUGUUGGUUGGUAUAGAUAGUUAGGCCUUGUCUGUCAUCAGGUUUUCCUUUUUCAGGUAAUGGAGAGUGAGCAGGCACAAGAGGGAGGCUCACAAGAGCAUUGAUGGACAUUUAUGUGAAACAGAGCAGGUAGGGCUCUGUUGGUGCUGUCUUUGUCUUUUGCAGGUUGGAAUAGAGCAGAAGACGGAGACUCACAAGUGGAACGAACAGUGGAGAUGUACUUGAAGACCUGGAGCAAACAGAUUGGCAUGGAGCAUGUGGUGAAACAGGGAAACACACCUUAAUAAUGACAAGCACAUCGUAAUUUUAAAUUAUAUGCUGUAAUUUUUACAGAAGUCGAGUGGAGAAACUAGGGAAUCACACAGGAAUGAUAAGAAACUGAUGUCAGGCAUCAACUAUCUAUGUCCUUCCAACAAGAUGAAAGGACAGCAGACAUCUUUCAAGAGGAAGAGGGUGGAGGUGGGCUUAGAUAGUUAGAUGUUUUGACUGUGGCAGGUGUUUCUUUUUCAGGUAAUGCACACACAACAUGCAAAAGAAGGAAACUCAUAAGAGCAUCAGUGGAGAUUUAUCUGAAGAACACUGGAGAACAGCUUGUGCAUUGCUGAAGAUCAGCCAGCAUGUAGAGCUCUGUUAGUCUUGUUUUGUCUUUUGCAGAUUAAGCUGGGGCAUGUGGAAAAAUAGGAAUCACACCUCAGCAAUGGCUGCAAACUGAUGAUCAAAUGAGGCAUUUCCCGGAUGGAUGCAUGGGUGGAUGGAUGGAUGGAUGGAUGGAUAAAUAGAUGCCCCUCCAACCGGAAGGUGGUGGUGGUGGGCUUAGAUAGUUAGAUCUCUUGUUUUUGGCAGGUGUUUCUUUUUCAGGUAAUGCAGACACAACAUGUAAAAGGAGGAAACUCAUAAGAGCAUCAGUGGAGAUUUAUCUGAAGAACACUGGAGAACAGCUUGUGCAUUGCUGAAGAUCAGACAGCAUGUAGAGCUCUGUUAGUCUUGUUUUUGUCUUUUACAGAUUAAGCUAGGGCAUGUGGAGAAAUGGAAAUCACACCUCAGCUAUGACUGCAAACUGAUGGUCUAGUCAGUUAUUUCCUGGAUGGAUGGAUGGAUGGAUAAAUAGAUGCCCUUCCAAGAGGAAGGGGGUGGAGGAGGGCAUAGAUUGAUAGAUAUAUGUCUUGUAUGCGGCAGAUGUUUCUUUUUCAGGUAAUGCACACACAACAUACAAAAGUAGGAAACACACAAAAGCGUCAGUGUAGAUUUAUCUGAAGAACACUGGAGAACAUGUUGUUUAUUGCUGUAGAUCAGACAGCAUGUAGAGCUCAUGAGAGUCUGUUUUUGUCUUUUACAGAUUAGACUGGGGCAUGUGGAGAAAUGGAAAUCACACCUCAGCAAUGACUGCAAAUAGAUGAUCAAAUGAGGCAUUUCACAGAUGGAUGGAUGGAUGAAUAGAUGCCCUUCUAAGAGGAAGGGGGUGGAGGAGGGCAUAGAUAGUUAGAUAGAUGUCUUGUAUGCGGCAGAUGUUUUUUUUUCAGGUAAAGCACACACAACAUGCAAAAGGAGGAAACUCAUAAGAGCAUCAGUGAAGAUUUAUCUGAAGAACACUGGAGAACAGCUUGUGCAUUGCUGGAGCUCAGAAAGCACGUAGAGCCCUGUUAGUCUUGUUUUUGUCUUUUACAGAUUAAACUGGGGCAUGUGGAGAAAUGGGAAUCACACCUCAGCAAUGACUGCAAACUGAUGAUCAAAUGAGGCAUUUCCCAGAUGGAUGGAUGGAUGGAUGGAUAAAUAGAUGCCUUUCCAACAGGAAGGGGGUGGUGGUGGGCUUAGAUAGAUAGAUCUUUUGUUUUUGGCAGGUGUUUCUUUUUCAGGUAAUGCAGACACAACAUGCAAAAGAAGGAAACUCACAAGAACAUCAGUGCAGAUUUAUUUGAAGAACACUGGAGAACAUGUUGUUUAUUGCUGUAGAUCAGCCAGCAUGUAGAGCUCUGUUAGUCUUGUUUUGUCUUUUGCAGAUUAGACUGGGGCAUGUGGAGAAAUGGGAAUCACACCUCAGCAAUGACUGCAAACUGAUGAUCAAAUGAGGUAUUUCCCGGAUGGAUAUAUGGAUGGAUGAAUGAAUGGAUGAUAAAUAUAUGUCCUUCCAAUAGGAAGGGGUGGUGGUGGGCUUAGAUAGUUAGAUAGAUGUCUUGUUUGUGGCAGGUGUUUCUUUUUCAGGUAAUGGACACACAACAUGCAAAAGGAGGAAACUCAGAGCAUCAUUGGAGAUUUAUCUGAAGAACACUGGAGAACAGUGUGUGCAUUGCUGGAGCUCAGAAAGCAUGUAGAGCUCUGUUAGUCUUGUUUUUGUCUUUUAGAGAUUAAACUGGGGCAUGCGGAGAAAUGGGAAUCACACCUCAGCAAUGACUGCAAACUGAUGAUCAAAUGAGGCAUUUCCCAGAUGGAUCGAUGGAUGGAUGUAUGGAUGGAUGAAUAGAUGCCUUUCCAACAGGAAGGGGGUGGUGGUGGGAUUAGAUAGUUAGAUCUCUUGUUUUUGGCAGGUGUUUCUUUUUCAGGUAAUGCAGACACAACAUGCAAAAGAAGGAA